CCUACGGGUGGCAGCAGUGAGGAAUAUUGGUCAAUGGACGCAAGUCUGAACCAGCCAUGCCGCGUGCAGGAAGAAGGUUCAGUGAGUUGUAAACUUCUUUUGUCAGGGGGCAAACGCUGGUACGCGUCUCCGUAUGAAAGUAUCGUACGAAUAAGCAUCGGCUAACUCCGUGCCAGCAGCCGCGGUAAUACGGAGGAUUCGAGCGUUAUCCGGAUUUAUUGGGUUUAAAGGGUGCGUAGGCGGUCUGUUAAGUUAGCGGUGAAAUCCCGGGGCUCAACGACGGCACUGCCUUUGAUACUGGGCGGCUAGAGUUGAGGAGAGGUAUGCGGAAUGCAUGGUGUAGCGGUGAAAUGCAUAGAGAU
Molecule: ribosomal RNA, 362 nt
Filed under: uncultured bacterium
Lineage: Bacteria
Description: partial 16S ribosomal RNA
Rfam family: Bacterial small subunit ribosomal RNA
Source: RNAcentral